This 342-nucleotide unclassified non-coding RNA is filed under the name uncultured fungus. RNAcentral describes it as "sequence contains ITS1". The stretch from base 1 to 103 matches the Rfam family "5.8S ribosomal RNA", at positions 50 to 154 of the family's 154-position model. Lineage: Eukaryota; Fungi. The record is from RNAcentral.
GAAGUGCGAUAAGCAAUGCGAAUUGCAGAACCGUGAGUCAUCAGAUUUUUGAACGCAACUGGCGCCGGCUGGCUCUCCAGUCGGCAUGCUUGUUUCAGUGUCUCGUAAACUCCUCACCCAGAUCUUAAUGCGAGAGAUGCCCUUCUCUUGCCAAGCAUGAAAACACUCUGAGCUCUGCAAGCGAUACUUCAGCCAUGCUGUUGGAUUGCACUCAAUGCAGCAGUCACAUUUUUACAAUGUGAACUCAUUGAGAGUCGAGUCAGUGCAGCAAUCACUGUCAGUGCUUAGCCAAAUGACCUUUUUCUGUAUCUGAAAUCAAGCAGGAUAACCCGCUGAACUUAA